This 440-nucleotide ribosomal RNA is filed under the name uncultured bacterium. RNAcentral's name for it is "partial 16S ribosomal RNA". It matches the Rfam family "Bacterial small subunit ribosomal RNA", at positions 338 to 795 of the family's 1533-position model. The record is from RNAcentral.
CCUACGGGAGGCAGCAGUGGGAGAUAUUGCACAAUGGGGGAAACCCUGAUGCAGCGACGCCGCGUGUGGGAAGACGGUCCUCUGGAUUGUAAACCACUGUCCCCAGGGACGAAGAUGACGGUACCGGGGGAGGAAGCUCCGGCUAACUACGUGCCAGCAGCCGCGGUAAUACGUAGGGAGCGCGCGUUGUCCGGAAUUACUGGGUGUAAAGGGAGCGUAGGCGGGACUGCAAGUUGGGUGUAAAAUCUACCGGCUCAACCGGUAGCCGCACUCAAAACUGCAGUUCUUGAGUGAAGUAGAGGCAGGCGGAAUUCCUAGUGUAGCGGUGAAAUGCGUAGAUAUUAGGAGGAACACCAGUGGCGAAGGCGGCCUGCUGGGCUUUUACUGACGCUGAGGCUCGAAAGUGUGGGGAGCAAACAGGAUUAGAUACCCUUGUAGUC